RNAcentral lists this ribosomal RNA (253 nucleotides) under uncultured bacterium. Its description in RNAcentral is "partial 16S ribosomal RNA". It matches the Rfam family "Bacterial small subunit ribosomal RNA", at positions 524 to 776 of the family's 1533-position model. The record is from RNAcentral.
UACGUAGGGUCCGAGCGUUGUCCGGAAUUAUUGGGCGUAAAGGGCUCGUAGGGGGUUCGGCACGUCGGGGGUGAAAACUCGGAGCUUAACUCCGAGCCUGCUUCCGAUACGGGCAGACUAGAGGUAGGCAGGGGAGAGCGGAACUCCUGGUGUAGCGGUGGAAUGCGCAGAUAUCAGGAGGAACACCAGUGGUGUAGACGGCGUUCUGGACGGUUACUGACGCUGAGAUACGAAAGCGUGGGGAGCAAACAGG